GCCUGGGUGGCUCAGUCGGUUAAGUGUCUGACUUCGGCUCAGGUCAUGAUCUCGCGGUUCGUGAGUUCAAGCCCCGCAUCAGGCU
This 85-nucleotide transfer RNA is filed under the name Felis catus (domestic cat). It matches the Rfam family "tRNA". From Rfam's summary of the family: Transfer RNA (tRNA) molecules are approximately 80 nucleotides in length. RNAcentral also lists the same sequence under 1 other name. The record is from Rfam by way of RNAcentral. Lineage: Eukaryota; Metazoa; Chordata; Mammalia; Carnivora; Felidae.